UGGGGAAUAGACUAACGGCAGGUCACUGCUCUCUGGAAGCAGUCGUCUAGGUUCGAAUCCUAGUUCCCCAG
RNAcentral lists this transfer RNA (71 nucleotides) under Patescibacteria group bacterium. RNAcentral's name for it is "tRNA-Gln". It matches the Rfam family "tRNA". Rfam says of the family: Transfer RNA (tRNA) molecules are approximately 80 nucleotides in length. Their secondary structure includes four short double-helical elements and three loops (D, anti-codon, and T loops). The record is from RNAcentral.